This 72-nucleotide transfer RNA is filed under the name Cytospora mali. RNAcentral describes it as "tRNA-Trp (CCA) (tRNA-Trp-CCA-1-1)". It matches the Rfam family "tRNA". Rfam says of the family: Transfer RNA (tRNA) molecules are approximately 80 nucleotides in length. Lineage: Eukaryota; Fungi; Ascomycota; Sordariomycetes; Diaporthales; Cytosporaceae. The record is from RNAcentral.
GGGGGGCUGGCGCAACGGCAGCGCGUGAGAUUCCAGACCUCAAGGUUAUCUGUUCGAAUCAGGUGUCCCUCA